UGAGCUUGAUCCUGGCUCAGAUUGAACGCUGGCGGCAUGCUUUACACCAUGCAAGUCGAACGGUAACAGGGUGCUUGCACCGCUGACGAGUGGCGAACGGGUGAGUAAUAUAUCGGAACGUACCUAGUAAUGGGGGAUAACUAUCCGAAAGGAUAGCUAAUACCGCAUACGCCCUGAGGGGGAAAGAGGGGGAUCGCAAGACCUCUCGUUAUUAGAGCGGCCGAUAUCAGAUUAGCUAGUUGGUGAGGUAAAGGCUCACCAAGGCGACGAUCUGUAGCGGGUCUUAGAGGACGAUCCGCCACACUGGAACUGAGACACGGUCCAGACUCCUACGGGAGGCAGCAGUGGGGAAUCUUGGACAAUGGGCGCAAGCCUGAUCCAGCAAUGCCGCGUGCGUGAAGAAGGCCUUCGGGUUGUAAAGCGCUUUUGUUCGGGAGGAAAUCCUAGUGGCUAAUAUCCAUUGGGGAUGACAGUACCGAAGA
RNAcentral lists this ribosomal RNA (482 nucleotides) under Iodobacter sp. 01WB02.2-21. RNAcentral's name for it is "bacterial SSU rRNA". It matches the Rfam family "Bacterial small subunit ribosomal RNA", at positions 1 to 484 of the family's 1533-position model. The record is from RNAcentral. Lineage: Bacteria; Pseudomonadati; Pseudomonadota; Betaproteobacteria; Neisseriales; Chitinibacteraceae.